RNAcentral lists this ribosomal RNA (325 nucleotides) under uncultured Nitrospirota bacterium. Its description in RNAcentral is "bacterial SSU rRNA". It matches the Rfam family "Bacterial small subunit ribosomal RNA", at positions 29 to 351 of the family's 1533-position model. Lineage: Bacteria; Pseudomonadati; Nitrospirota. The record is from RNAcentral.
AGCGAACGCUGGCGGCGUGCUUAACACAUGCAAGUCGAACGGCCUUCGGGUAGCAAUACUUGAGGGUAGUGGCGAACGGGUGAGUAACACGUGGGUAAUCUCCCCUCGAGUGAGGAAUAAGCUUGCGAAAGCGGGUCUAAUACCGCAUGACGCCCCGGGACACAAGUCUUCGGGGCCAAAGCCGUAAGGCGCUUGGGGAUGAGCCUGCGUCCUAUUAGCUAGUUGGUAGGGUAAUGGCCUACCAAGGCUUUGAUGGGUAGCCGGCCUGAGAGGGUGAACGGCCACACUGGAACUGAGACACGGUCCAGACUCCUACGGGAGGCAG